This 28-nucleotide small RNA is filed under the name Bombyx mori (domestic silkworm). Its description in RNAcentral is "ovarian small RNA-17910". The record is from RNAcentral. Lineage: Eukaryota; Metazoa; Arthropoda; Insecta; Lepidoptera; Bombycidae.
GUGGCCGUGCGCAAAAUGUGCGCGAAAG